This is an RNA transcript of Harpegnathos saltator (Jerdon's jumping ant), 2462 nucleotides long. It is a transcript of the gene named pre-piRNA 3'-exonuclease trimmer, with no coding region annotated. The record is from RefSeq and is a predicted model, not a curated record. The transcript has 13 exons. Lineage: Eukaryota; Metazoa; Arthropoda; Insecta; Hymenoptera; Formicidae.
UAGUUUUUUUCUUCCAUCAAGUAUCAAAUACAUUCCAUUUUAAGUGCACAUAGUGCAACUUAGUGCAUAUAUAAGGAACAGUUGAAACAUCAUGGCGGCUCACUGUGUAUGCCGUGUAUUGUAAUAUAAUAGCAGUUAUUCAGUCUUUCAGAAAACAUUUGAAAACAACAUUUUUAUCAUGAAUGACGUUACGAAUAAUAAUUUUAAAGAGAUAUAUCCACAAUUAGAACAUACAUUGAAAAAUGCGACUUUCAUAGCAAUUGAUAGCGAAUUUUCAGGUAUAAAAGAUGAAAAUAUAAAAACUAGUUUGUUCGAUUCUAUCGAGGAACGCUAUGAUAAAAACAGGAAUAUUAUCCGGCCGUACAUAAUAGUGCAGUUUGGUAUUACUGCAUUCCAACGAAUACAUGAUGAAAAUCAAUAUAAUGCGGAAAUCUUCAACUUUUUUAUAUUGCCUAAAUCUAUUCCAUCAAAAAAUAGACAAGUUCUUUGGGAUGUAUCAUCAAUGGAGUUUCUGGCUGAGCAUGAGUUUGAUUUUAACAAGCUUGCUCACCAUAGUAUUCCAUACAUUGAUGAACAGGAGAAAGAAAUUUUGCAGCAACAAAUACAACAAAACACAUUGAUUUACAACAUUAAGCAAGUGAUAUCUUUCACGGAAGAGGAUACUUUAAAAAAUACGAUCAAUGAAGUAGCGAAAUGGUUGGCUACUAAUAUCGAUGAAACUAAUUCGUUUAAGAUCAAAACUUCUUCUCCAAAUUUACAGUACCUCAUGCAUAAGGAAUUAAGAAAACAUUUUCCAAAUAUUUGGACUCUCUCAGGAAAUGAAUCGGUAACUGUAAUAAAAGUGGAACCAAAUACAAGAGAGAUUUUGAGCGAGGAAGAAGAUCUCAUUCUGGAAAAUGCAUUGCUGGAAUCAUAUAUGGGCUUCUCAAAAGUGUUUAAUCUCUUAGUUACAUUGAAGAAGCCUAUAAUAGGACACAAUGUCCUGUUAGAUUUAAUGUUUAUGUAUCAACAAUUUUACAAGCCUCUGCCACGAAAAUAUAUCGAUUUCAAGAAUAAUAUACAUAAAUUAUUUCCAUUAAUUUAUGACACAAAAUUUUUGAGCUUUGAACUUAGGGAAAUUCUUGAUCCACAAGAAAAAUGGAAAACUAAUUCACUAGGAGGCCUAUUUGAUUAUUUUACAAAGUUUGGUUACUACUCAGACUAUGACUUAAAGUAUGAAAUAUAUUCUCCUGUACCUAAAAUUCGUCUCAAUAAUGAAUUGAUUUAUUCAGAUGCUGUUAAAGCAUCUAUGAAAUGUCACACUGCAGGUUGGGAUUCUUACUUUACGGGUUACAUAUUUAUAAAAAUGGCAUUUAAAUUCACUCAGAAGUACACUAAACCUGAUGGUCCUAAAAGUAAAGAAACGUCGAGGUACGUUACGCAUAAAGAAUUAAUGCACCGUAUUCAAAAUUUCGCAAAUUGUAUAAAUAUCAUACGUGGCAGAAUGUCAUACCUGAAACUCAAUGGACACGAACCGCCAUCGACUCGUCCGAAGUGGCUUUAUGUGAAAACCUUAACAGCCAAACCAAUAACCGAAAUGGAGAUAUAUGAAGAAAUAUUGAAAUUCGGUCCCGUUGAUGUGAAAAAACUUGCGUCAGACCGUAUAUUAGUGGCGGUAGGAAAUCAUGGGAGCGCCCGGGACAUACUGCAGUGGUUCAGGCAAAACAAGGAGCUGCACGUAGUCCCUUACAGCGCGAUACGUCACUCACCUUCGGUGCAACUCGCUCUAGUGAGGUGAAGUCAGCGGACUGACCAAGCUGAAGAUCUACCACCGUAAUUUGUUAAACGCUCCCUCGUUACCGAGACAAGGCUGUCCGUUGUGACGGCUCGCGUACAAUUUUGCUGCCGCAUAGACAAGAUAAAUAUACAUGUCGCGCCCGUUAUUUAUAUUGAUGCGGCUUCUCUUUGAGGGGCGAGCCUGCUGCCUACGCGUUAUUAGCGCGCGACCCUCAUUAGCACUCGCUCCGGCUAAGAAGCGCUAGAUUUCGCACGGAAGAACCAAACCAAAACAAUGCUCGGGGGACGUGCGGCUUUCGACCUUUCGACCUUUGGACCAUGUCAGGAGGGAACAGCCGUUUGCACAGACCGACGAGAACACGAGGCUAACACGGUGACGCUGUUAGUCCGAAGUCGCAGGACGCUGCAUCUUGUCGGGCGAUUACAUCGAUUAUAGCAGAUGCCGAAAUUCCGAUCGAGUCGUUGUCGUCGGCCAAGUGCAACGGCACUACAAUGUCUCGGCGGGGAACGAACGGUGGGCACCGCUUGAGUGGGGAUCCGAUGAGAAAACCGCGAUCACAGCAUCAGAAAGAACAGUAGGUUCACUCGGUGGCGGUGCUUUUGAUCUCAGGUGCUGCAAGACCGCCGUGUUAUGGAUUAUAAUUUGAAUGGCAAUGAAUAGUAGCUAAAAUAGAUUUAUUGCUGUU